This 301-nucleotide ribosomal RNA is filed under the name Leucauge magnifica. Its description in RNAcentral is "partial 12S ribosomal RNA". Lineage: Eukaryota; Metazoa; Arthropoda; Arachnida; Araneae; Tetragnathidae. The record is from RNAcentral.
GGUGGCCAUUUUAUUUUAUUAGAGGAAUAUGUCACCUAAUUGAUAAUACACAAUAAAUUUCACUUUUAGUUAUAUUUUAUAUACCACCAUCUAAAAAUUAAAUUUAAAAAUUUAAUUAUAAAAAAAUUAUAAUAAGUUAGGUAAAGGUGUAGACUAUAAAAAAGAAAAAGAUGUAUUACAUUAAAAAAUAUUUAAGGAAAAAAUUUCAUAAAAUUUUUUGAAAAAGGAUUUAAAAGUAAUUUUUUAGUAAUUUUAAAAAUUGAAUAAGAAAAUAAAUGUGCACACAUCGCCCGUCGCUCUU